This 29-nucleotide non-coding RNA is filed under the name Mus musculus (house mouse). Lineage: Eukaryota; Metazoa; Chordata; Mammalia; Rodentia; Muridae. The record is from RNAcentral.
UGCAGUCCCAGCCGCCUUUCCGGAAUGCC